This 70-nucleotide transfer RNA is filed under the name Chelonia mydas (Green sea turtle). It matches the Rfam family "tRNA". Rfam says of the family: Transfer RNA (tRNA) molecules are approximately 80 nucleotides in length. Their secondary structure includes four short double-helical elements and three loops (D, anti-codon, and T loops). The record is from Rfam by way of RNAcentral. Lineage: Eukaryota; Metazoa; Chordata; Testudines; Cheloniidae.
GGAAGGAUUGCUUAGUGGUUAAAGCACUGGACUUUGAGUCCAGAAAACUGGCUUUUAUUUACUGCCUCCA